RNAcentral lists this non-coding RNA (29 nucleotides) under Rattus norvegicus (Norway rat). The record is from RNAcentral. Lineage: Eukaryota; Metazoa; Chordata; Mammalia; Rodentia; Muridae.
UCUCAGAAAACAUAACCGAGGUUGGAGAC